UAAGAAUGCUAUUUGCAGAGAUGGUGUAGUCUUAAGACUUUGGAUUUGUGGGCUUUGAAGUUUCCUCAGCACAAUAAGCUCUUUUUCUACUGUGUCUACUUUUGCCACGGGCCACUGCUCAUUGUACAACCAGCAUGCUGUUCCCUGAGUGAAUCUUCCUGAAAGUCUGUAAAAAGGGAAUCUGAGGAAACAGAGCCCUUCAUCAAAAGGUUUCUGCAUGAGCGCACAUUCAAUUCUCCACUGUUUUGAUAAGAUGAAUCAUGUGUGGAUAAAUUGUGGAUCACAUUUAUCUUUUGAAACUUACUACUUGAGGUUUGCUCUCUAAAAUAAGACUCUUGGACUCACAAAGGCCAGAAAACCUUUAUGUCUGCAGAUAUAUGAUAAGAAGAUGUUUAAAGUACUCUGUUGGAAAUAUCUGGGGAGUGCCAUAAAGGAGAAGGACUGGUAUCCCUCAGUCCCACAAGGUCACUGGAGUGGAACAUCAGUGCUAUGACAUAUUUGUUUCCGGGGAAAAGCACAUUGGCCUUUGCCUCCUUCUUUUCUAACCAGCUGGCAAAUAAAGGUAUUUGACAGCAAAAAUACAGAGAUAUCCACUUAUCAAAUAUACUAGUUUGGAAAAGGUGUCAGAAAGCAGAAAUGAAUGGGUGUGUGUUGUGUGCUGUGGCACCAUAUUUAUAGAACACAGGGUUAGCCUUAAGAAAGACAUACCUAUCUUUUGGAAAUAUUGAUCUGUCAUUUUGAAAAAUAGGAAGAAAAACUGUUAAAAUUCUGUUGCUGCAUUAUUUUCAUUGGCAUCCCUAGGAAAAUCCUUUUACUACGUCCAGUUUAUUGGAAAUAGUCUUAGAAUAAAUUAAUGUGAGUAUCCUCACUGCAGAUGUCUGUUCAUGCACAUAAUGAUUUUAG
RNAcentral lists this long non-coding RNA (903 nucleotides) under Homo sapiens (human). RNAcentral describes it as "HSALNT0075215". Lineage: Eukaryota; Metazoa; Chordata; Mammalia; Primates; Hominidae. The record is from RNAcentral.